GUCACCUUCAAAGUCUUCAAAUACUUUUUGCCCCUGGCUUGCAGCAGGCAACACAGCGCGGCUUAGAGGGAAUUAGAAAAAAAAUUAAACAAUAAACCAACUGAAAAAAGUCAACCUGUCAUGUCUGGUUUCUUGUUCAAAGCCAGACGUUAAUCUAUGCUAAGCAUCAACUGCCAAAACUGGAUCUAAGUGUUUAGAGUUAGGCUGAGCUUCUGUAUUUUUUCCUGCCAUUUCCAAAUGAGGAUAACGCUCACACUGCCUGUAGCAUCCACACAUGAAGCCCGAUGCUGGGCGCUUUCACACAGAACAGUUUCAGUGCCUCCACACCCAGGAAAUCCUCCAUUUCCUGGAUGCACGAACCCUACUACUUAAAUGCGGCCCAUGCAACAGACAGCACAAACCUCCUCACAAGUGCAGGAUGCAGUGUAUGCCGUGUCCCCACUUGGCAUUUACAAGACAUGGGUGCAGAAGGUAACCUGCAGUGCUUCAUCCAGCUGCACUUCUCCCCAGAAAACAGGGCACAAAAUCAUGGGCACAGUUCCCCAGCCACUACGAGGACACUGUGGUAUUCCAUAAGAAAGCCUCCUUCAGUUGUUCCCAGCACUUGGUCACGGACUCAGACAGGCUACCAGAGACCACAGGCAGCUGCCACCACGCUCCAACAGCCUGCGGCAGAGGUAAGCACCCUUCAUUUGAUCUUUUAACCCUCACAGCAAGGCACUGUAGCUGCAGUUUUAUACAUAAACCCCUCUAUUCAAAUUAACAGCCAGUUUUAAAUUUUCACUAAAAGUAGGGAAAAAUUGGGCAAAUCUGCUCUGAGUCACUUACACAGUGCUGUAUUUUAAGGGACAGCUGAGGUGGGUUUUUUUUUAUUAUUUAUUAUUAUUAUUAAUUUUUUUUUUUACAUGCUAGUGAGACGCUAACUAUCCCUGGGCAUUAUUGUCAUAGUAGCAGUGAGAAACUUUCAUCAUCUUCCUUCAACCUUUAUUCCUCCUCUUAAUCUAUUUGGUUUGUUUCGUUUCAAAUACAAAAUCCACAUAGAGUAACUCAGUUUCACAGAGGCACUGCCCAACCGUGUGCCUCUGCCCCACAAAGGCAAAGCUCCUCCGUCACUGAGCUCACAGAGGAAUGCUUUGCUGAUGUGACACCGAGCGAUAAAAACUUUGGCUGCUGUAUGAUAAAGUACCAUCCUUCAUUGCAAAUGUUAACUGGUUCAUAGCAGCGCUAGAACUGGCAUUGUAUCAUAUUAUUUGACACUUAAACAAUUGUAUUCAUACAACAUUACAGCUGUGAAUUCCUUUGAAAGGUUUCUUUUUUCUUUCUGGUCACUGUAACUGCCAAACUAGAAUACUUCUAGUAACAAGAAAAAGGUAACCAGGAUUUGUAACAUUGCAAAAUUAAUUUCUAAUGCAGAAAGUAGUCCAUUUAAUCCUAACUGAGGGAAGAGUGCAUACACUGUACAACAAAAAUACAGCUUUAGCAAGCAACAAGGAGCACAUCUCAAGCAGGAACACGCCACAAAGGAUAUUUAUAUUUAAACAAACAAGCAAACCAAGAACCCAACAUAUAUGAAUAUUGCUAGAAAGAAUAAGAUUUAUUCUCAACAAAUUUCUCCUUAGAGCUGCUGUUCUGCCCUCCACUGAUGCCCACUUUACUACUUGGGUAUUCAAGUUCAAGUUAUGGUUUAGGAAAGGGACAAACUGAUGUUGUGAGGCACCUGGCUCCUUUUCCUUUGACUGGUAGGCACCAGGUAAGCACACCCAAGAGCAGCUGGCUUUGUGCUCAGCACCCUGUGCUGGCUCAUGAAGGCUGGAUGCUCUGUAGCCCUGAAGCCAGGCAGCUUCUUAGGAAGCACUUUAGGAGCUGUUCUCAGCAGGUAGAAGCAGCAUUCAGACUCAUGCCACCUUCAAAGCCAACACCUAUGACAAGGAGGAAUGUUCUGAAAAACAAUUUUUAGCACUGAGGUCACUUAAAAUGUGUUUCCAAAUGGAAAAAAAAAGUUUGCAUAUUCCUAUCCAACAGCAACAACUGAAUUGGUAUUUCCAGAGAUUCUGAUUUACGUCUACUUAAAAAAAAAUGGUAUUAAAUUUCUCAUCCUUCAAGAAGGUUAAGGAUGUAGCAUCUUCAUUGUGCAGCACAAAACUAACACUGAUUCAUAAUCAGACACCAUAAAGGUUCAUAUCACCAUAAAGGUGAUUCCGAUUGAAUUUUUCGGCAAACAAGAAUGUCUGAGAUAUACCUACGUGGGAAGAAACAUACUUUUUACACACUGUAGCACUAACUUGAAUUAGCAGUAGAAAAGCAUCCUAACUAAGAAACCAAACCCUGCAGGAAAGUUAUGUCAUGUUCUGUAGAUUAUGAGAUAGAUACUUUAGAACUAGAAGAUUGCUUUUGCUUUCCAGAGAUCAAUACGUGGUUUAUGAGGAUUUUCCUGGUAUUGAGUUACUUCUCAGGACCUUACUUAUCUACUGUUUUCUCUUUUCAAUCCAUGCCACAUUACUGCUGCUAAAAACGUUAAAAUAAGAAAUAACUUUCAGAAUGCCCAUCCACUUUCAUGUUUUUAUAUGUUAGAUGCAAUUCAGUUCACAUUCACUCACCGUGGUUCACAUUGCACCUAUCCUAUUUAUUAAUAAGUAACAUCAGAAUCACCAGAACCUAAAGCCUAACUUGAAACUACAAGGUGUUAAAUCCUCAGAAUAUACAGUAGAGAAAGGAGCCAUCUCCCAGUAGGAGCUUUUCUGUAAAAAAAAAAAA
Molecule: non-coding RNA, 2754 nt
Organism: Meleagris gallopavo (turkey)
Lineage: Eukaryota; Metazoa; Chordata; Aves; Galliformes; Phasianidae
Source: RefSeq, a predicted model, not a curated record